Molecule: ribosomal RNA, 459 nt
Filed under: uncultured bacterium
Lineage: Bacteria
Description: partial 16S ribosomal RNA
Rfam family: Bacterial small subunit ribosomal RNA
Source: RNAcentral
CCUACGGGUGGCUGCAGUGAGGAAUAUUGGUCAAUGGGCGGGAGCCUGAACCAGCCAAGCCGCGUGAGGGAAGAAGGUACAGCGUAUCGUAAACCUCUUUUGUCAGGGAACAAAGGCGGGGACUAGUCCCCGGAUGAGGGUACCUGAAGAAAAAGCAUCGGCUAACUCCGUGCCAGCAGCCGCGGUAAUACGGAGGAUGCGAGCGUUAUCCGGAUUUAUUGGGUUUAAAGGGUGCGUAGGCGGGCUUUUAAGUCAGCGGUAAAAAUUCGGGGCUCAACCCCGUCCGGCCGUUGAAACUGGGGGCCUUGAGUGGGCGAGAAGAAGGCGGAAUGCGUGGUGUAGCGGUGAAAUGCAUAGAUAUCACGCAGAACCCCGAUUGCGAAGGCAGCCUUCCGGCGCCCUACUGACGUUGAGGCCCGAAAGCGUGGGGAGCAAACAGGAUUAGAUACCCUAGUAGUC